CGAGCGAACUGAUUAGAAGCUUGCUUCUAUGACGUUAGCGGCGGACGGGUGAGUAACACGUGGGCAACCUGCCUGUAAGACUGGGAUAACUUCGGGAAACCGAAGCUAAUACCGGAUAGGAUCUUCUCCUUCAUGGGAGAUGAUUGAAAGAUGGUUUCGGCUAUCACUUACAGAUGGGCCCGCGGUGCAUUAGCUAGUUGGUGAGGUAACGGCUCACCAAGGCAACGAUGCAUAGCCGACCUGAGAGGGUGAUCGGCCACACUGGGACUGAGACACGGCCCAGACUCCUACGGGAGGCAGCAGUAGGGAAUCUUCCGCAAUGGACGAAAGUCUGACGGAGCAACGCCGCGUGAGUGAUGAAGGCUUUCGGGUCGUAAAACUCUGUUGUUAGGGAAGAACAAGUACGAGAGUAACUGCUCGUACCUUGACGGUACCUAACCAGAAAGCCACGGCUAACUACGUGCCAGCAGCCGCGGUAAUACGUAGGUGGCAAGCGUUAUCCGGAAUUAUUGGGCGUAAAGCGCGCGCAGGCGGUUUCUUAAGUCUGAUGUGAAAGCCCACGGCUCAACCGUGGAGGGUCAUUGGAAACUGGGGAACUUGAGUGCAGAAGAGAAAAGCGGAAUUCCACGUGUAGCGGUGAAAUGCGUAGAGAUGUGGAGGAACACCAGUGGCGAAGGCGGCUUUUUGGUCUGUAACUGACGCUGAGGCGCGAAACCGUGGGGAGCACACAGGAUUAGAUACUCUGGUAGUCCACGCCGUACACGAUGAGUGCUAAGUGUUACAGGGUUUCCGCCCUUUAGUGCUGCAGCUAACGCAUUAAGCACUCCGCCUGGGGAGUACGGUCGCAAGACUGAAACUCACACGAAUUGACGGAGGCCCGCACAAUCAGUGGAGCAUGUGGUUUAUUUCGAGGCAACGCUAAGAACCUUACCAUGUCGUGACAUCCUCUGACAACUCUAAAGAUAGAGCGUUCCCCUUCCGGGGACAGAAUGACAUGUGGUGCAUGGUUGUCGUCAGCUCCAGUCGUGAGAUGUUGGGUUUAGUCCUCCACCAACGCAACCUUGAUCUUAGUUGCC
This 1076-nucleotide ribosomal RNA is filed under the name Priestia aryabhattai. RNAcentral describes it as "bacterial SSU rRNA". It matches the Rfam family "Bacterial small subunit ribosomal RNA", at positions 63 to 1119 of the family's 1533-position model. The record is from RNAcentral. Lineage: Bacteria; Bacillati; Bacillota; Bacilli; Caryophanales; Bacillaceae.